RNAcentral lists this ribosomal RNA (497 nucleotides) under uncultured bacterium. RNAcentral describes it as "partial 16S ribosomal RNA". It matches the Rfam family "Bacterial small subunit ribosomal RNA", at positions 28 to 507 of the family's 1533-position model. The record is from RNAcentral.
GAUGAACGCUGGCGGCGUGCCUAAUACAUGCAAGUCGAGCGAACAGACGAGGAGCUUGCUCCUCUGACGUUAGCGGCGGACGGGUGAGUAAAACGUGGAUAACCUACCUAUAAGACUGGGAUAACUUCGGGAAAACGGAGCUAAUAACGGAUAAUAUAUUGAACCGCAUGGUUCAAUAGUGAAAGACGGUUUUGCUGUCACUUAUAGAUGGAUCCGCGCGGGAUUAGCUAGUUGGUAAGGUAACGGCUUACCAAGGCAACGAUGCGUAGCCGACCUGAGAGGGUGAUCGGCCACACUGGAACUGAGACACGGUCCAGACUCCUACGGGAGGCAGCAGUAGGGAAUCUUCCGCAAUGGGCGAAAGCCUGACGGAGCCACGCCGCGUGAGUGAUGAAGGUCUUCGGAUCGUAAAACUCUGUUAGUAGGGAAGAACAAAUGUGUAAGUAACUAUGCACGUCUUGACGGUACCUAAUCAGAAAGCCACGGCUAACUACGUG